AUACCAACGGUGUACAUAUAGAUAAUUGUCUUGUUUUGAAUUGUGCAAUUCAUUAACAUUUAAAGUAGAAUAACUCGGAAAUUAUUCGUUAAAUGAGUACUGAGAAUGCUUAAAAAAUCACUGUAUAAUAUUAUAAACAUUUAUGAAAAAUAACUUAAUGUAGGAGAUACGUCCCUCCUCACCUCACUCCCGUUUACAUCCCUGAACUAUAGUGUAUUUAUAACGUAUAUUUGAUCAAAAUGAAACGAAAUAACUCAACUGAUUUAAGUACGUUAAAUUUGUUUUCAAAAAAAAAAAAGUGCUUCUUACAAGUACGGAUAUAGAGAAUAUAAAAGUUGAUGGUGUAGGUGAUGUAGAAAAAUGUAAAUUGCCUGAGCAGUCUGGUAAAAAUUGAUCCCGAA
Cinara cedri is the source of this 401-nucleotide non-coding RNA. NCBI's taxonomy places the organism in Eukaryota, Metazoa, Arthropoda, Insecta, Hemiptera, Aphididae. The record is from the annotation of a GenBank genome assembly.